GUGGGGAAUAUUGGACAAUGGGGGGAACCCUGAUCCAGCCAUGCCGCGUGUGUGAAGAAGGCCUUUUGGUUGUAAAGCACUUUAAGCGAGGAGGAGGCUACCGAGAUUAAUACUCUUGGAUAGUGGACGUUACUCGCAGAAUAAGCACCGGCUAACUCUGUGCCAGCAGCCGCGGUAAUACAGAGGGUGCAAGCGUUAAUCGGAUUUACUGGGCGUAAAGCGCGCGUAGGUGGCCAAUUAAGUCAAAUGUGAAAUCCCUGAGCUUAACUUGGGAAUUGCAUUCGAUACUGGUUGGCUAGAGUAUGGGAGAGGAUGGUAGAAUUCCAGGUGUAGCGGUGAAAUGCGUAGAGAUCUGGAGGAAUACCGAUGGCGAAGGCAGCCAUCUGGCCUAAUACUGACACUGAGGUGCGAAAGCAUGGGGAGCAAACAGGAUUAGAAACCCCAGUAGUCC
Molecule: ribosomal RNA, 451 nt
Filed under: uncultured bacterium
Lineage: Bacteria
Description: partial 16S ribosomal RNA
Rfam family: Bacterial small subunit ribosomal RNA
Source: RNAcentral